AAGUCGUAACAAGGUUUCCGUAGGUGAACCUGCGGAAGGAUCAUUACCAAAUCCAUCCAAUUACCGACCCACGUGUGAACCGAUAACAGUCUUUGGGAGCUGUGCUCUUUUGUGCGGCUCCCGCAUUUAUUUUGAACCACGUUGUCUUUUGGCAGAGUAAAAACGACCUUUUUUCUUUAUUUUCUUUUUCCUUCUGGAAAGAAAAAAAUGAGGCAAAAGGGACAAAACAACUCAAUCAAAAACAACUUUUAACGGUGGAUCUCUUGGCUCGU
RNAcentral lists this unclassified non-coding RNA (272 nucleotides) under fungal sp. Its description in RNAcentral is "partial internal transcribed spacer region". The stretch from base 1 to 46 matches the Rfam family "Eukaryotic small subunit ribosomal RNA", at positions 1786 to 1831 of the family's 1831-position model. Lineage: Eukaryota; Fungi. The record is from RNAcentral.